Molecule: ribosomal RNA, 397 nt
Filed under: uncultured bacterium
Lineage: Bacteria
Description: partial 16S ribosomal RNA
Rfam family: Bacterial small subunit ribosomal RNA
Source: RNAcentral
AUACGUAGGGGGCGAGCGUUGUCCGGAAUGAUUGGGCGUAAAGGGCGCGUAGGCGGCCCGGUAAGUCUGGAGUGAAAGUCCUGUUUUUAAGAUGGGAAUUGCUUUGGAUACUGUCGGGCUUGAGUGCAGGAGAGGUAAGUGGAAUUCCCAGUGUAGCGGUGAAAUGCGUAGAGAUUGGGAGGAACACCAGUGGCGAAGGCGACUGACUGGACUGUUACUGACGCUGAGGCGCGAAAGUGUGGAGAGCAUACAGGAUUAGAUACCCUGGUGGUCCACACUGUAAACGAUGAAUGCUAGGUGUAGGGGGUAUCGACCCCUUCUGUGCCGCAGUCAACACAAUAAGCAUUCCGCCUGGGGAGUACGGCCUCAAGGUUGAAACUCAAAUGAAUUGACGGGG